GUGGGGAAUUUUGGACAAUGGGCGCAAGCCUGAUCCAGCAAUGCCGCGUGCAGGAAGAAGGCCUUCGGGUUGUAAACUGCUUUUGUACGGAACGAAAAGGCUCUGGUUAAUACCUGGGGCUCAUGACGGUACCGUAAGAAUAAGCACCGGCUAACUACGUGCCAGCAGCCGCGGUAAUACGUAGGGUGCGAGCGUUAAUCGGAAUUACUGGGCGUAAAGCGUGCGCAGGCGGUGCUGUAAGACAGGCGUGAAAUCCCCGGGCUCAACCUGGGAAUUGCGCUUGUGACUGCAGCGCGGGAGUGCGGCAGAGGGGGAUGGAAUUCCGCGUGUAGCAGUGAAAUGCGUAGAUAUGCGGAGGAACACCGAUGGCGAAGGCAAUCCCCUGGGCCUGCACUGACGCUCAUGCACGAAAGCGUGGGGAGCAAACAGGAUUAGAAACCCGAGUAGUCC
Molecule: ribosomal RNA, 450 nt
Filed under: uncultured bacterium
Lineage: Bacteria
Description: partial 16S ribosomal RNA
Rfam family: Bacterial small subunit ribosomal RNA
Source: RNAcentral